CGGAAAGGCCCUGCUUGCAGGGUACUCGAGUGGCGAACGGGUGAGUAACACGUGGGUGAUCUGCCCUGCACUUCGGGAUAAGCUUGGGAAACUGGGUCUAAUACCGGAUAGGAGCCAUCUUUAGUGUGGUGGUUGGAAAGUUUUUUCGGUGUAGGAUGAGCUCGCGGCCUAUCAGCUUGUUGGUGGGGUAAUGGCCUACCAAGGCGGCGACGGGUAGCCGGCCUGAGAGGGUGUACGGCCACAUUGGGACUGAGAUACGGCCCAGACUCCUACGGGAGGCAGCAGUGGGGAAUAUUGCACAAUGGGCGCAAGCCUGAUGCAGCGACGCCGCGUGGGGGAUGAAGGCCUUCGGGUUGUAAACUCCUUUCGCUAGGGACGAAGCUUUGUGUGACGGUACCUAGAUAAGAAGCACCGGCUAACUACGUGCCAGCAGCCGCGGUAAUACGUAGGGUGCGAGCGUUGUCCGGAAUUACUGGGCGUAAAGAGCUCGUAGGUGGUUUGUCGCGUCGUCUGUGAAAUUCUGGGGCUUAACUCCGGGCGUGCAGGCGAUACGGGCAUAACUUGAGUGCUGUAGGGGUAACUGGAAUUCCUGGUGUAGCGGUGAAAUGCGCAGAUAUCAGGAGGAACACCGAUGGCGAAGGCAGGUUACUGGGCAGUUACUGACGCUGAGGAGCGAAAGC
RNAcentral lists this ribosomal RNA (680 nucleotides) under uncultured Actinomycetales bacterium. Its description in RNAcentral is "bacterial SSU rRNA". It matches the Rfam family "Bacterial small subunit ribosomal RNA", at positions 67 to 760 of the family's 1533-position model. The record is from RNAcentral. Lineage: Bacteria; Bacillati; Actinomycetota; Actinomycetes; Actinomycetales.